AUUGUUUUGGCAGAUAAGUGCGUUAAAUUUAGAAUUUAGGUAUGUAUGGAUAAUACAAGCAAUA
This 64-nucleotide transfer RNA is filed under the name Velutinodorcus velutinus. RNAcentral describes it as "tRNA-Leu". Lineage: Eukaryota; Metazoa; Arthropoda; Insecta; Coleoptera; Lucanidae. The record is from RNAcentral.